RNAcentral lists this long non-coding RNA (522 nucleotides) under Anser brachyrhynchus (Pink-footed goose). RNAcentral describes it as "lncRNA (ENSABRG00000003468.1)". Lineage: Eukaryota; Metazoa; Chordata; Aves; Anseriformes; Anatidae. The record is from RNAcentral.
GGGACUUCCUGGGGUCCACUGCAAAAUUGCAGUAUUGCGAAGGGUCUUAAUUUUCUCAGCUCUGAUUUCUUUUUCAGAUGUGUCCUGGAUACCUGGACUCCACAGUUUCCCUGCCCUGAUAAGGCAUCCAAAGGAACCAGAACUCUUUAUCGUCAGGUCCCCAGUACAUACUAUUCGCCAGAUAACUUCUCCCAUCCCAACCAUCUCUGGUGGUUUCCUACCCUGCCAGAAGUCAAUCAAUCUGUCAUUGAACAUGGAGCUGUGAAAGGAAGAUGCGAUACUACACUGCAUGCAAAAAAAAUAUAUCCUCUGAUGUUGAGCAUGGCAUAUCCCAUGUCUGCAAGUAAGUCUGCAUACUUGAAGAUUUGCUACUUCUGUGACUCCUGCAAGAAACAGGAAAGAAUAAGACUUCAGAUUAUGCCUCUGAUGGGAAAGGCUGCAGCACUCCGCAGAAGGGUUGAUCCAUCACACCAAGUACCGCUGUCUGCCCCUCAAGUAUUAGGCUCCUUGGGCAGAGCGUGA